This 125-nucleotide microRNA precursor is filed under the name Hordeum vulgare. RNAcentral's name for it is "microRNA MIR1122". It matches the Rfam family "MIR1120/MIR1122 microRNA precursor family". Lineage: Eukaryota; Viridiplantae; Streptophyta; Magnoliopsida; Poales; Poaceae. The record is from RNAcentral.
GUAAUACUCCUUUCAUUCGGAAAUACUUGUCAUUGAAAUCAAUGUAUCUAGAUGUAUUUUAGCUGUAGAUAAAUUCAUUUUUAAUCAUUUGUUCGACAAGUAAUACCGAACAGAGGGAGUACAUC